This 393-nucleotide long non-coding RNA is filed under the name Scophthalmus maximus (turbot). RNAcentral describes it as "lncRNA (ENSSMAG00000022822.1)". Lineage: Eukaryota; Metazoa; Chordata; Actinopteri; Pleuronectiformes; Scophthalmidae. The record is from RNAcentral.
UUUUUUUGUCUGCACCCAAGGCAUUUUUUGCUUUUGCCUUCUACUGCAAACAUUUUCUUGGAAAUGUCGAUUCUUUUUUGCUUUUUCAGAAAGGUUGUCCCAGGUGAACUACCAUAAGGGGUAACAUGUCUUCACCCCUCAUGACUGCUGCUAUCCUCCACCAGUAAUCUGCGCAAAAGGGAAGAAUUAAAGCAUCGCUCGCCCCCGGAGCCGGCCUUCUCCUUUUUGGACUGGUAAAAGACGGGAAACGUGGAGGACAUGCUCGUUUUGGGGGCAAAAAGAGGUUGUGAGAUUCCCUCUCAGGUGGAAGUUCUGGUUUAAUCCGGCGCAUUUUCUCUCAGAGCAGAUCGGAUGCUGCAAGGAACCUGAGUUCAUGACUUGGGGAGAACUCUG